UGCCAUAAGAUGAGCCCAAGUGGGAUUAGGUAGUUGGUGGGGUAAAGGCCUACCAAGCCGACGAUCUCUAGCUGGUCUGAGAGGAUGACCAGCCACACUGGAACUGAGACACGGUCCAGACUCCUACGGGAGGCAGCAGUGGGGAAUAUUGCACAAUGGGGGGAACCCUGAUGCAGCCAUGCCGCGUGAAUGAAGAAGGCCUUCGGGUUGUAAAGUUCUUUCGGUGAUGAGGAAGGGUGGUGUUUUAAUAGAGCAUUACAUUGACGUUAGUCACAGAAGAAGCACCGGCUAACUCCGUGCCAGCAGCCGCGGUAAUACGGAGGGUGCGAGCGUUAAUCGGAAUGACUGGGCGUAAAGGGCACGCAGGCGGUGACUUAAGUGAGAUGUGAAAGCCCCGAGCUUAACUUGGGAAUUGCAUUUCAUACUGGGUUGCUAGAGUAUUUUAGGGAGGGGUAGAAUUCCACGUGUAGCGGUGAAAUGCGUAGAGAUGUGGAGGAAUACCGAAGGCGAAGGCAGCCCCUUGGGAAAAUACUGACGCUCAUGUGCGAAAGCGUGGGGAGCAAACAGGAUUAGAUACCCUGGUAGUCCACGCUGUAAACGCUGUCGAUUUGGGGAUUGGGCUUUAUGUUUGGUGCCCGUAGCUAACGUGAUAAAUCGACCGCCUGGGGAGUACGGCCGCAAGGUUAAAACUCAAAUGAAUUGACGGGGGCCCGCACAAGCGGUGGAGCAUGUGGUUUAAUUCGAUGCAACGCGAAGAACCUUACCUACUCUUGACAUCCUAAGAAG
Molecule: ribosomal RNA, 786 nt
Filed under: Glaesserella parasuis
Lineage: Bacteria; Pseudomonadati; Pseudomonadota; Gammaproteobacteria; Pasteurellales; Pasteurellaceae
Description: bacterial SSU rRNA
Rfam family: Bacterial small subunit ribosomal RNA
Source: RNAcentral